This 850-nucleotide long non-coding RNA is filed under the name Homo sapiens (human). Its description in RNAcentral is "HSALNT0164820". The record is from RNAcentral. Lineage: Eukaryota; Metazoa; Chordata; Mammalia; Primates; Hominidae.
GCCACUCACCCGCGCCUUCGGCGGGCUGCGGCGGCCCGACGACGCCGUUCAGGUAGAGAAUGGGCAGCAGGUACAGCCUGGAGACAAAUGGUGGGGAGGGUUUCCCCUAAAUUUGGACAUCUCCAGAUUAAGACCUCCGCCGAAUCCGUGAGGCUUUCCCUCUCCAAGGAGCUCCUAAGAGAAUUUCCCAGUAAAAUCGCCUCAACUGCGGUAAAUAGGCUGUUCCCCGCGCCAGCAUUUGAGAAGAGCUGGUCCCCAGAGUGUAAAGGAGUUAGGAUGUUGGCAGGAGGAAGGAUGUGUCGCCGGAUGAGGAAAAGAAAGGCGACAGCCGUUUGUGGACACAUACUGCUUACCUCCCUGACUGCAGGACAAGGUCCUUCAAAGCUGGAACUCUGACUGCGCUCAGUGAUCCCGCAGUGCUCCUCUGUAGAGUGGGAACCCAGGUCCAUUUCAAAUAUCUACGUUGGAAUGAGUGGAUCUCGCUGGGGGGUCUGCUUCUUCAAGGGGAGAAGUCGUUUUUAUUUAUGGAAACGAACUCACUAUAUGGUAGAAAGAACAAGAGUAUCAGAAUUUGCACUUUGGACUUGGACUCCCCUCUAAGCAGCUGCACAAGGAUAGGGAAAUUUGGAUGCAGAGACACAGAGAAAAUGCCAUGUGAAGAUGGAUCAGAGACAGAAGUGAUGCGGCUGCAAGCCAAGGAAUGUGAAGAAUGGCCAGCCACCACCGGAAGCUAGGGGAGACGCCAGCACAGAUUCUCCCUGAGAGUAUCCAGAAGAAACCAACCCUCCAACACCUGGAUUUCAGACUUCUGACCUUGAGAAGUGUGAGCCAAUAAAACAACUGCAGUGGA